CCAGCAACAAAGAAAACAUUUCCAGCCUGAGCUGAUUGUAGAAGCUGCACAUUUUAUAACUCCAGCCAGCACCCCUAUACAGAGAACUGGAAGGAAGAAACGCAGACUAAGACCCUGCAGCAGGUGCAGCUUGAUUCCCAAGUGCACUGACCUUCCAUAGGAGCAUGGCAGGAAUUUCAAAUAGGAUUAGCCACCCAGACAAGGAAAAGGUCACAGGACAUUUCCACUGGAAAUUCUCAUGCAAAUAGGCCUUUUGAUAUGCAUGGCAUUUUUUCCACGCGCAUCUAAUAGCCAUGCAUACAGAAAAAGGGAAAUAUUGAAACAUGAUGGCUAAUGUAUGUUAAUCUUGUGAAGGUGUUGACUUCACUAAAAAUCCAGGGCUGCCAAAGGGUAGGAAUGCCUGACUUUGUAUAAAAGGGGUCUCUUAGAAUAUUAAAGCCUUGCAAGAAAACA
Molecule: long non-coding RNA, 453 nt
Organism: Candoia aspera
Lineage: Eukaryota; Metazoa; Chordata; Lepidosauria; Squamata; Candoiidae
Exons: 2
Source: RefSeq, a predicted model, not a curated record